This 480-nucleotide ribosomal RNA is filed under the name uncultured bacterium. RNAcentral describes it as "partial 16S ribosomal RNA". It matches the Rfam family "Bacterial small subunit ribosomal RNA", at positions 28 to 523 of the family's 1533-position model. The record is from RNAcentral.
GAUGAACGCUGGCGGCGUGCCUAACACAUGCAAGUCGAACGAUGAAACCGCCUCCGGGCGGACAUGAAGUGGCGAACGGGUGAGUAACACGUGACCGACCUGCCCCCCGCCCAGGGACAGCCCCCCGAAAGGGGGAUUAAUACCUGGUACUCCGGAAGCGGCGCAUGCCGUCUCCGGGAAAGCUCUGGCGGCGGGGGGUGGGGGCGCGGCCCAGCAGGUAGACGGCGGGGCAGAGGCCCACCGUGCCGACGAGGGGUAGCCGGGUUGAGAGACCUACCGGCCACAUUGGGACUGGGAUACGGCCCAGACUCCUACGGGAGGCAGCAGUGGGGAAUUUUGCGCAAUGGGGGCAACCCUGACGCAGCAACGCCGCGUGCGGGACGAAGGCGUCCGCGUCGUAAACCGCUUUCAGCGGGGAACACCUAACGAGGGUACCCGCAGAAGAAGCCCCGGCUAAAUACGUGCCAGCCGCCGCCGUAA